ACCACACCAGCAUCUACGGCGCGCUUCAGUACUUCCCCCUCGGCCACGUCGGCCUCUUCGUGGCCGCCUCGGCGUUGCUCCCUCGCGCCGCGCUGCUCGUGGCCUCGGCCCCGGCC
RNAcentral lists this non-coding RNA (116 nucleotides) under Lingulaulax polyedra. Lineage: Eukaryota; Dinophyceae; Gonyaulacales; Lingulodiniaceae. The record is from RNAcentral.